Molecule: transfer RNA, 83 nt
Filed under: Encephalitozoon intestinalis
Lineage: Eukaryota; Fungi; Microsporidia; Unikaryonidae
Also listed under: 1 other name
Description: tRNA-Leu
Rfam family: tRNA
About the family: Transfer RNA (tRNA) molecules are approximately 80 nucleotides in length. Their secondary structure includes four short double-helical elements and three loops (D, anti-codon, and T loops).
Source: RNAcentral
GGUGGCGUGGCCGAGCGGUCUAAGGCGGCAGACUUAAGAUCUGCUAUCGGAAGAUGUCGUGGGUUCGAACCCCACCGCCACCA